GAUGAGCCUAUGUUAGAUUAGCUAGUUGGUAGGGUAAAGGCCUACCAAGGCAGUGAUCUAUAGCUGGUCUGAGAGGAUGAAGCGCCACACUGGAACUGAGAUACCCUCCAGACUCCUACGGGAGGCAGCAGUGGGGAAUAUUGGACAAUGGGCGCAAGCCUGAUCCAGCUAUGCCGCGUGAGUGAGGAAGGCCUUUCGGUUGUAAAACUCUUUCAGUGGGGAAGAUAAUGACGGUACCCACAGAAGAAGUCCCGGCAAUGUCCGUGCCAGCAGCCGCGGUAAUACGGAGGGGGCAAGCGUUGUUCGGAAUUAUUGGGCGUUUAGGGCAUGUAGGCGGUUCGGUAAGUUAAAGGUGAAAUGCCAGGGCUUAACCCUGGAGCUGCUUUUAAUACUGCCAGACUCGAGUCCGGGAGAGGAUAGCGGAAUUCCUAGUGUAGAGGUGAAAUUCGUAGAUAUUAGGAGGAACACCAGUGGCGAAGGCGGCUAUCUGGUCCGGU
RNAcentral lists this ribosomal RNA (497 nucleotides) under Anaplasma platys. Its description in RNAcentral is "bacterial SSU rRNA". It matches the Rfam family "Bacterial small subunit ribosomal RNA", at positions 224 to 738 of the family's 1533-position model. Lineage: Bacteria; Pseudomonadati; Pseudomonadota; Alphaproteobacteria; Rickettsiales; Anaplasmataceae. The record is from RNAcentral.